RNAcentral lists this long non-coding RNA (19230 nucleotides) under Solanum tuberosum (potato). RNAcentral's name for it is "long non-coding RNA (STUB_LNC001200)". The record is from RNAcentral. Lineage: Eukaryota; Viridiplantae; Streptophyta; Magnoliopsida; Solanales; Solanaceae.
GUCUAAUCCCUUCUGAAAUCUCUCACCUUUUUAAACUACAAGUUCUUCGAUUCAGUGGUCUAAAUGAGCUUAGACUUGGGCCUCACAACUUUGAACUGCUCCUUAAGAACUUGACCCAAUUAAGAGAGCUCAACCUUGACUCUGUGAACAUCUCUUCCACUAUUCCUUCAAAUUUCUCUUCUCAUUUAACAACUCUACAACUUUCAGACACACAGUUACGUGGGCUAUUGCCUGUAAGAGUUUUCCACCUUUCCGAUUUAGAAUUUCUUGAUUUGUCAUCCAAUCUCCAGCUCACUGUUAGGUUACCCACAACCAAAUGGAAUAGCAGUGCAUCACUCAUGAAGUUAUAUCUCGGUUAUGUGAAUUUUACUGGUAGGAUACCUGAAUCAUUUCGCCAUCUAACUGCACUACAUGAGUUGGACAUGAGUUCUUCUAAUCUGUCAGGGCCCAUUCUUAAACCUCUAUGGAAUCUCACCAACAUAGAGAGUUUGUUCCUUGAUGAUAACCAUCUUGAAGUACCAAUUUCCCAGUUCUCGAUAUUUGAAAAGCUCAAGUACUUAUCACUUCGAAAUAACAGCUUUGAUGGACGACUUGAGUUCUUAUCCUUUAACAGAAGUUGGACCCAACUAAUUGAAAUGCUAGAUUUUUCAUCCAAUUCCCUAACUGGUCCAAUUCCAUCCAACGUAAGUGGACUACAAAACCUAAAACAGCUCUACUUGUCGUCAAACCACUUGAAUGGGACUAUACCUUCCUGGAUAUUCUCCCUUCCUUCACUGAUAGUGUUAGACUUGAGCAAUAACACUUUCAGUGGAAAAAUUCAGGAGUUCAAGUCCAAAACAUUAUAUGCUGUUGCUCUAAAAGAAAAUAAGCUGGAAGGUCCUAUUCCAAAGUCACUCCUAAACCAGCAGAGCCUACGAUUUCUUCUCCUUUCACACAAUAAUAUCAGUGGACAUAUUUCUUCAGCUAUCUGCAAUCUGAAAACAUUGUUUCUACUAUAUUUGAAAAGUAAUAAUUUGGAGGAAACAAUCCCACAAUGUUUGGGUGAGAUGAGUACAGUUUGGAUUUUGGAUUUAAGCAACAAUGGUCUUAGUGGGACAAUUAAUACAACUUUUAGUAUUAGAAACCAAUUCAAGAUCAUUAAAUUGGAUGGCAAUAAGCUACAGGGGAAAGUUCCACCAUCUUUGAUCAAUUGUGAAAAUUUGGAAUUUCUAGAUUUAAGUAACAAUGAGUUGAAUGACACGUUUCCAAAAUGGUUGGGAGACCUACCUCAUUUACAGGUCUUAAAUUUGAGAUCAAAUAAGUUCUAUGGCCCUAUAAGGACUGACCACUUGUUUGCUCAAAUUCGAGUCAUAGAUCUCUCAUCCAACGGAUUUAGUGGAGAGUUACCAUUGAGCUUGUUUCAGAAUUUUCAAGCCAUGAAAAAAAAUGGUGAGAACAGUGGAACCCGAAAGUAUGUAGCAGAUAUAUAUUCUAAUUAUUACAAAAAUUCUUUGAUAGUGACAACAAAGGGACUGGAUUAUGAACUUCCUCAAGUUUUGACUACACAAAUAAUUAUCGAUCUCUCAAUGAAUAGAUUUGAAGGUCGUAUUCCAAACAUUAUUGGAGAUCUUGUUGGACUUCGUACGUUGAACUUAUCUCAUAAUGUCUUGGAAGGUCACAUACCAGAAUCACUGAAACAUUUAUCUGUACUCGAAUCAUUGGAUCUCUCAUCUAACAAAAUCAGCGGAGAAAUUCCGCAACAACUUGUGUCCCUCACGUCACUUGAAGUCUUAAAUCUCUCUCACAAUCAUCUUGUUGGAUGCAUCCCCAAAGGAAAACAAUUUGAUACGUUUGAGAAUAGUUCAUACCAAGGGAAUGAUGGGUUACGUGGAUUGCCACUCUCAUAACAUUGUAGCAGUGAUGAUCAAGCGACAACUCCAGCUGAGCUAGAUCUAGAAGAAGAAGAAGAAGAAGAUGAAGAUUCACCAAUGAUCAGUUGGCAAGCGGUUCUCAUGGGUUACGGUUGUGGUCUAGUUAUUGGACUGUCCAUAAUAUACAUAAUGUUGUCAACUCAAUAUCCAACAUGGUUUUUGAGGUUGGUUGUGCAAUUGGAACACAGAAUUACUACGAGAAUGAAAAGGCACAAGAAAAGAUAUUAGUGUGAAGUGUUUGUUAUCCUAUGAAUAAACACAUGACUUUUCUUCCUUUGAGACUCAAAUCAGAGUUUGCUUUCAUUUGUCUAUGGCAUGUAGAUAUGUGCCAUCACUAAAAACAUAGUAUUUCACUCAACUCUUUCACAUAACAUCAUAACACAAACAUAGAACACUCGACUUUAAGUUCGGAAACAUAAAAAUCUGUAUUUACAGAGUUUGAAAAUAUUUCUUUUCAGACUCAUGAUGGUCCUGUUAAGAAAUCACCACCAACUUAAUUAAUCUCCAAGACAUUUCAAAGAAGAAUCUAGAAUAUUCAAGAGUUAUAAAGAAAUAAAGGAAGAGCUCUAGAAUGAGUAUUCUAGAGAGAAAAGUCUAGAGUUGUCCUAGAUAAGAUAGUUCUAGAAAUAGGAAGUUAGAAGAACAUUCUAGAAUGUAGUAGCAAAACCCUUAGCUAGAUUCUUCCAUCACCACCUAUAAAUAGAGGUGGUCCAUUUGAGUUGUAAGCAAUCAAGAAAGAAAGCAAGAAACAAAGUAAGAAAGCAAGAAAGAAAGUAAGAGAGAAAACAAGAGUGAGUGCUAAGUUAAGAGUGUUGCUGAAGCAAGCAACAAGUGUGAUCAAGAUUGUAAGACCGAAGCGGGUCCUUGCUUUGAUAUAAUAAAAUUCAAGUUGUGAGAAAUUGAUUGUGUCCGUCGUCUCCAAACCAAUAAUAUUCAACAGGUCCUUCAUCAAAAGAUAAUAAACAUUAGGAAAAAUAUUCGCAUUAUUCUCUACUGCCUGAGCCUUACAUAGACAACAUCAUGUGUUUUCAACUGGAAUCUACAUUCUUUGAAGAGCUGAAGAAAGAACCUUCAACUCUUCCCAUCUAAGUCUCGGAUGACAGAGUUACCCGAUAUCUCUAUUGGUGGAAGGUAGAUGGUACCAGUUGAAUUAAUUGAAUAGAACACAAGUUGACCCAAGCAUCACUGUUACACAACAACAAACUACGCCUCAGCCCUAAAAAAUAACUUGCAUAGAGACCUGCAAUAAUGUUCAAACCCCAAAAUAAGAUUAGACAUAAACACAUAACUGAGUGAUAGAAUUUCUAGUGAUCGAAAUCCAUAAGGAUUUCAAACUUCAUUUAGGAAGAAAUCAAGCAGAAGCGCUUGACUAUAGGUGAGCUUUAUCGUGAUCAACUAUUGUUCAGAUUAAUUAAUUAGCAAGCUGCUGCAUAAUUUCAAUGUUUCGGGGCAAAGAAAAAGAUUCAUAAAACAAAAGUAGAAAACAAUAGGAAAUACCUCGCCAAACAAAAGGAUAUCACUACAGCUUUCUUUAAGCAGUGCUUUAAUCUCUCUGCAAAAUCCAUAUGCAGCAUCCUUUUAACUGAUUUUGAUGAGUCGAGAUUUCACAAAAAUGUAUCUAUCAAGCUAUGACUUAGCUGAUGCUGCAGUUAACAUCUCCACUAAAUAAAACUGUGGGCUGAAACCUUGUGUAUUCCAGCAUCUAACAUUGCUUUUCUCAAGGCAGCAGCAUAAUCCCACCUCUCUGCGCCAGCACAAAUGAUUCGGUUGCGACUCAAGCAGUAGUUGUGAUACUUUAUUGUCACGCCUCGAGCCUACACACCCUGGGCGGGACUGGCACUCGAAGACCAUUGCUGGCCCCAAGCAAACCCUUGGUUUGGCUUACUUAACUCAGUGGAAGACAAUAUUCAUACUUAUAAUGAUCAAUAACACUUAACUGAACUGAAUAAUAAGAUAACUAAGAAUAUUAAAAGUUAAACAUUCAACUUGGCCAAAAGUGGCAUCCAAGUCUUAACAAUAAGAAAUGAUACUGAAAAGACUCAAAGGACUAACAUCUAACUGUCUAUGAUGCCUCUAAAACAACCGAGAUGGAUGUUGGGAUAGACCCCACAAUAUCCUAAUGCACUAAACUAGAAAACAAUGAAAAUAGAUCCUUCGGAAUGCAAGGAGGCUCACUGGCUGACUGUGAACUGCUCACUGGAUCAACGGUGCGCUGAAAUGCCGAUCUUAGUUACCUAUGUCUACAUCAUAAGACGAUGCAGGCCAACUGGCAUCAGUACAUUGAAUGUGAGUAUGCGAAUUGGAAUGCUAAAACAACAUAGGCUAGAAAGAAUCUGAGAGAAAUUGAAGAACUUACCUGGCUCAACUCAACUCAACCUAACUGAACUCAUUUCAAGAUAAAGCAGUUUAAAAGCAAGUGCAAUAUAAAGAAAAGAUGUUUAAAAACAUGAUAUCAACUUUGUGUAUGCAAAGAUACAAAUAACUCUGAGAUGUAUGUAAAAAUACAAAUAAACUGAUGUGUAUAAAAAUACAAUACUUCUGUGGGAGUUUUUCUAAACGACAAUCAUCACAUAAAAGUUAUUGUGAUGAUACAACGAUCUACCUCACGCUGUCAGCGCAUCCUAUACCCGCCCAAAGGUAUAGGACCUGAAUUGCCUAAUGGAUCCACUAGUCCAUUGCGAAAAUGAUUCAUCUAAAAAGUAUGACCCUUUUCUACCCAUGGUAGCUACAUUGUUUUAUGGUGACGUGAGUUAUUUGAACUCAUGCUCGUCCCCAAUUCGUUGCUCAAUACUACUCCCAAAAUAUACGGGCUCUUAUGUUUUAAAAACAUACUUCUUCUGUGGUUUGAAAUUAGUGCUCAAAAACUUAGCUCAACGGCUAUCUUGGAAAUCUCAGUUUCCCUUCUUGCUUCAUUUAGAAAGCUAUAACUUUUUCUGAAAACUUGCCCGAAGGCUCUUUGGAAAUCUCUUGUUUAAAUGUGCAAACAUUUAAAACCCUUUUGGGAAUACAUAGUCCCCAUAUACUUUUGAAGAAAUGAACUUCAAACUUUACUCUUUACUCUUUACUCAACUUGAACUUUAAGUCUUAAAACAAAGUUAAAACAUUUGGAAAAGACUUUUGGAAUACUCCAAGAACUUAUCUUGACUUGACUCUUAUUUCUCUUCACUUUGAUCUUAACUUUCCUUGAAUUGGAGUAUGGAUUCAAGGUUCAUGAUCUCAUGUUUAUGGAUGAUUUCAUGAUGUUUAGAUGUACCUUAGAGUGUUGGAAUCAACUAGAAAACGUAGGUACAUCACUAAGGAACAUGUACUAAAAGGUGGGGAACGAAUGGGGAGAACUGGCGUCCCUAGCACUUUGUGAGGCGCGGGGCGCCAGCCCUUAAAGUUUAGAGAACUUUCUGUGGCGCUCUGGCUGGCGCGACGCGCCAGAGGCCAAAGUUCAGAGGAACUUUUGUGGCGCUCUGGCAGGAGCGGUGCCCCAAGCCCUUGCCCAGAAAACUCCGAUUUUUCUCCUUCAUUUUUCAUCUCUAAACCCUCUAAAGUUCAAUGGUUCUUUUCCCAAACACUUAGAAUCAUUAGCACCCUCAAUAUACAAUAGAUUCAACACGAAAUUUCACCAGGAAACAUGAAUCAAAUCAUCAAGAAACUUCAACAACACAACCCUCAAGAAUUCAACGAAACUUUCAGCAAUGUUCAUCAAGAACUCAAUUUCUAAUCAUUCAAAGACUUAAAUUCGCUGAAUUGAAUCAUGUUUGGCGUGUGGGUGAACUAACCCAACGCUAUGUGAUCUCACAUACCUUGUAGGGAUCACCCCCGACGAAUUCCAGAAGUUAAAUUUUGACAAUCUUGGCGAUUCUUGAUUUCUCUUCUCUCAAAACCUUAACUCUUUUGGUAAAAGUGUAAACUGAUCUAAUUCAGCUUAGACCCUUAAGUAAUUACCAAAAACGAAUUAAAAUAAAAGGGUAAGGAAAAGACCAAACUACCCUUUCAAAAUUCGGAUUGGACAUUUCCUUAAUCCAACAGCCCAACUUCCAAGGGUAUAUCUUACUCAUACGAACUCAGAAUCGCAUAAACUUGGCGGCGUUGGAAAGAUAAUUCCAAGAUAUUUCCAAACAUAUCUGGAAUUUCACCUAACUCAUCUUGAGCUAGGAGUUAUGGUCAUUUGAAGUUGACCAAAAACUCAACUUUAACUUGCUUACAAUUUUCCAGAUUUCCUUAUACUUUCCAAAAAUAACUAUUUCCAGAUUUUAAACUUCUUUCUAGUUCUCUCUAGUUGCGAGAUGUUACAUUCAUUUCCCAAUUCAAUAGCUCCAUGAAGUCUACAAGCACCCAUCAGAGCCCCCAAGACAGUGGCAUCAGCUUCAAAAGGCAUCUUCUUUAUGAAGUCGUACGCUUCCUGUAGUAGCCCAGCUCUCCCUAAGAGAUCAACCACACAACGGAAAUCAACAAGAUAAUGUUCCAUCUUAGCUACAAGUCAAAAUUCAUGAGACAUUGCUUCAAACAAUACAAAACUGAAAUCGACAAGCUUGGAAUACUCGCAAGCUGAUAGAACAGACACAAAGGUAAUCUCAUUUGGUUGCAGCCCCUUUGCCCUCAUCUUCUCAUACAUCAUUAAUGCGUGCUUCUCUCUUCCAUUCAAAGCUAGGGAAGAAAUCAUAACAUGACUAUUGAAACUUUUACCAUUGAGCUAACUUCUAAGAAAAGGGUUGUAGAUUAUUUCUGAUACAUUAAGUUCUAUUCAACCUCCUUUAUGAUGCAAAUAACAUAAAUGAAAGGCAAUGAAACAGUGCUAAAUUACGAAGGAGAUUUGAUAUAUAGCUUAGAGAAGAUUUGGGCCUCUUGAAGUGUAACAGCCCAAAGCACAAAACACUCAAGGCCCAAUCUGUUCAUUGACCCAAACCAGCAAAACAAAAGAAAAUAAAAAUCAGACACAAAAGUUGAGUCUUUAGAUCAUUCAAUCAGACGAUAUGUGCACUCACUAAAAACAUUGUGUUUCACUCAACUCUUUUACAUAACACAAACAUAGAACACUCGACUUUAAGUUCAGGAACUUAAAAAUCUGUAGUUACAGAGUUUGAAGAUAUUUUUCUGCAGACUCAUGAUUGUCUAUAUUAAGGUAUCAGACAAAAUGCAUGUGUUUUCACAAUUGGCCGUGUUAUCAAAUAACUACAUGAACUCUAAGUACUAAUACAUAGAAAUUUUCUUCUCUUUUUUAGUUUUGUAAUAGAAAGGCAAAGUUGUGUGCGGGCAGGGUUGUUGAGGGAACCAAAACCUGUUGUGUGGGGGCAGGAUUGUUAAUGACUAAAAAUAUGUUGGAUUAAUGAAGGAAAAUAGAGGACCAAAAACAGCUACAAUGCCAUAAGUUCUGACCGUGUUCAAAUUUUAAAAGAUUGUAAAUGAUAUUAUCAGCAUUUGAUAUAACAUAAUUAAGGCAACCAAAAACAUUGUGAGUGUCUACAAAUUCUGAAGAGGCUGUAAAUUUUUUUUUAUUAACAUUUAGCUUAACUAUAAAUAAGGCAACAAAGUAUGGAUUUCUUUUUAAAAAUUUGAAGAGGCUGCAAAAGAUAUUACUAGUAUUUACCAUAACAUAAAUAAGGGAACAUCUAUUAUUGUCUAUAAAUAAGGUACUUAUUAGCAUUGCUGUAAUAUGUUCUAAUUAUUAGUACAUGUUAAACUUCUUAUUUACUCAUACCUUUAGUAAAUGAUUAAUGUCUUUAAGUCUCCAAAUACAAGCUUUAUUUUCAUAGUUUCUGUUGUUUCAUCUUAGAUUUUUAUUACUGCCUGUUGUUUCUUUAGCCUCAAUUACUGUAUUAUCUUGUCGUUUUUUCUGCUUAUAUUACUGCAUUCUUUUCAUUUUUCUUUGGGCCGAGAAUCUAUCGAAAAUAACCUCUCUACCUUCAAGGUAGUGGUAAGGUUUGCAUACAGACUAUCCUCCCAAGACGGUCAGGCCCCACUGGUGGUAAUCAAUUACACUGAGUUUGUUUGUUAGCCUAUGAAGAACCUGCCAUGUCUUGACUCCUUCACUGUCUUCCAUCACUUGUUUCUGUCAAGUUGUGGUGUGUGUGAAGAGAGCAAAACAAAGAUAUUUUUUCGUGACAUUCAAACAAAAUGUAUGUGUUAUUACAAGUGGUGGGACUUUGUGUUACGUUGUUUCUUUCAUUUGAAUCUUUCUAUGCUAUCUUAUUUAUCGUCCCUUCCAUCACUUGUAAACAUACAUAUACGUAGUAAUUUUCAUUUGAAGAGUACGUUUGUGGAACUUUUUAGUUGUGUAAAUUUUCUUUCAAGAUAAGUAAAAGAAGUCUAUAUAUAUCUGAAUUUACUAUGAAAAUUUUAAAAAGUAACCUUCAUUUUUUAAUUUUCUCUGGAACGAAAAUGGACUAAUGGACCUAAGAUCAUGCUGAAAGACAGAGUUGAUGGACAACAGGUGAAUAUCAUAACUUUUACUAUUUUAAUAAAAUUGAGCUUGAUAUUUUCAUUGGAACAAACUCUCAUUCUUUUGUUAAAAGUUGAAUUUGGUAACAAACACAAGGCCAAAUACUUAAACAUGUGUAUCUUGAGACGUAGAGAAAGCGAAUUUUUGACAAAAGUAAGCCAUUAUUUAAAUCAAUUCACCAAAGUAAUAUGUUUUUUUGAAAAUUUACAGAACUAGUAUGUAUAAACGUAUUCCUGAGUAACGUUUUAGGCUAUAUUUUAUUUUAAAAAAUUUAGACGUGUAAAAUAUAUGGACUGACGGCGUUAAAUAAAGAAACGUUACUAGGGGUAACGUUUUAAGCAUAAUAUGUUAUUGUCAAAUACGUUUUAUAAUUUGUUACUCGAAGGCACGUUUUAUAGCUAAAACGUUACUCACAGUAACUGUUUCUUUAAAAUCCAUUUACACACACGGGUCUUUUAGUUUGCUUAGUACAUUUCUUGUUAAUGUAUCAAGUGGAGUACUUUUAAUGGGUUUUAGUUGUGUUUAUAUCCUUUCAAUUAGUUGUAAGGUAACUUCAAUCCAAAAUACCAACAAUGCACAAUUUAUUUAUUUUUUCGUUCUUGUCUCUAAUUUUGAAUAAACUAUGUUUGUGUGCAUAACCAUGUUCUAUUGGAUUUUUCUUGUGAAAAUCAAGUGAACAAAAAGGAUAAAAUAAAUAAAUAACAGUGAUGAUUUUUCUUACAAUUUUCCGCCUAGUGUUCGAUAAAUUAUAGUGAUAGAUUACCACCUCAAAUUAACACCCUAGCAAGAGAAAAAAUCUCUCGAGUUAGAAAACCAACAUUAUACAUGUUGAGAAUAUAUACCAAGAAAAAAGAGAGUAAAGAACCAAACAAAUGAAUAUUUUUAAUGACAAAUUAAAGCCUUUGUCAAUAAGGCAACAAACAUUCUAUUUUUUAGCAAAAGGUAUAGGAAUUCAAAUGUAUGUCUGUACAAAACCAAAGCCAAUAAACUCCAUUGUAUAGAGCAUUUUCACCUAUGCUAGAUUUAACUAAUUUAUCACAAUAAUACAAGAAGCCUAGCUGCUAGAAAAUUUGAUCAGCUCACCAUAUUUACAAAAGAAUGGAUGAAAUAUCAUUAACAUGUGCUCACUAGAUAAUAAGUGAAAUUACCACCACUCGUGAAUCCAUGCCUGCAUAUAUGUACACAAAAAAUUCUAUUAUAACAUAAAUAUUGUGUUAGGAUAGGAGGAUGCAUUCGACAAUAGUAUGAUUUUAUCGAUCAAUUAUAGCAGAGUAUAUUUGCUUAACAAUUCUGAACAAGAGUAUCAAAAUUAACAACUGAAGCUACAUGGAAGCCAACAUUUUAAAUGCAACUAAAGCUAUGAAUAUAAGUGCGAGUUGUAAACGUUGUUGGUUCCAAAUUAGAUAAAUUCUCAUAAAUUAUGGCAAGACAAGGUUGCUGCAAAGAAAAGUGAUUCACUGUCAACUACCUUACUAACAUAAAGUAAUUCUUUAUUUUCUUCUUCGUUUUUUGUUUUGUAAUAGAAAGGGAAAGUUCUGUGGGGGUGAGGGCAGGGUUGUUAAGGGAACCAAAAUGAAGAUAUCAGAAAAUCUAGUAACCAACACGGCCUCAUGGUCUCAGAAGGAUAAUCUCGAAAAGCUUGAAGAGUAAAACAAGUUGAUAUCUGAAUUUACCUCGAAAAUUUUAAAAUGGCCUUCAACUUGGAACUAUUAAUUUUCUUUGUAACAAACUGAAUGAACGAAAAUGGCUUAUUAUUAAUUUGUUAAAAGAUGUAUUAGAACCAUUGGGAGGACUGUUUUGAGCCAUUAGAACCAGGUAAAAGAAUAAGUUCUGUCACAACAAAUUGUAGGAAAUACGCAUUGUUGAGCUUAUGCUCGAAAUCAAUUAAGGGUACGAAAAGUUUUGUCACUUACAAAGAAAAUGCUUGUGCCAUCUCAAAAGUUUCGUAACUUACAAAGAAAAUGGAAAGCAUUCUUUCUUGCUAUGGUCAGGUCAAUAUGGUCGUGAAAUUCUUCAUAUUUUUUAAUUUAAAAUCGAUGUAUUUGAAAACAAUAUAUUAUACAAAUAGGAUCUAUUUCAAAAAUGAUCACUAAACUUUAAAAGUUGUAACAGUAAAGUCGUAAAAUUUAUUUGCCUUAAACUUACUGCACAUAGGAGUAUGGGGAGUAUAUUUGCUUCUGAUUAAUGUCUAUUAUUCUCCAGGAUACAAAUAUUUGGCCUUCAAAAGCAAACAGUUUCUCUCCAACUACAAACUUUAUUUUCAUCUUAGAUUUUUAUUAUUACUUGUUGUUUCUUUAGCCUUGAUUGCUGUAUUAUCUUGUUGUAUUUUCUGCUUGUUGCUACUUCCUUCUUUUGCAUCUUUCUUUGAGUCAAGAAUCUAUUACAAACAACCUCUCAGGUCUCCGUACACACUAUACUAUCCAUCACUGAAAUUGAGGACUAUAACAACGUGUUUCUUCCGUUCUACUCUCCGAGAGGACAAGAACAACAGUUUCACACUCACCUAUAAGUUCCAGGAAGAUAGAGAAAACAAGUUUAAUCUAGUUGGACUUAAUGAAUCAGUGGUGAAUCUAUGAAGAACAUGCUAUGUAUGGACUCCUGCACUGUCUUCCAUCAGCAGGUCAAUUCUUGUGGAAAAUUGGCUCGAGCUGGUGCACUAUGUAGGCGCUUAUUCAGAGUAGAUUUCCAGUCUAACCUUAAUGCAUUAGCAAAGUGACUCUCCUAUUCUUAAGGUAUAGAGUUGUUAUGUUUCUUUCAAAGUUUACACACCAAGUAAUACUCUUAUCCUAAACAAUUUUGUUGUGUGGUGGUCCUAUUCCUGGAAUCCAGUUAGGUUGGCAAAACAAAGAUAUUUUUUUUGUCUAUAAUAACGUUGCACACAAAAUGCAUGUGUAAUGUGUUAUAUACAAGUGAUGGGACUUUGUGCUUUGACUUAAGAAUGUGAACUAUUGAUAGUUUCCGGCAUUCAAUUGUGUGACACAUUGAAUGGGUAUAUGUGAUUCACAACUUCAAAUUGACUGAAAAUGACUACGUAACCAAUAGUAAAAUUUUCUUUGCUUAAUUUGUGUUAUAUAUACCUCAUCAAAAUUGUUGAAUAGACACACAAAGCAAAACAUUUCUUGAUUUCUUCUCUACCAACUUAAUUAGUUUUGAUCAUUUUUAGUGCAGAAAUGGAUUGUGUAAAACUUGUAUUCUUUAUGCUAUAUACCUUUCUUGGUCAACUUGUUUUCUCCUCAUCCUUACCUCAUUUGUGUCCCGAAGAUCAAGCUCUUGCUCUUCUACAAUUCAAGAACAUGUUUCCCAUUAAUCCUAAUGCUUCUGAUUAUUGUUUUGAAUGGAAAGAGUUUCAUUCAUAUCCGAAAACUCUUACAUGGAAUAGGAGCACAGAUUGUUGCUCAUGGGAUGGAGUACAUUGUGACAAGAUGACGGGACAGGUGAUUGAGCUCAACCUCACUUGCAGCGGACUUCAAGGCAAGUUUCAUUCCAAUUGUAGCCUCUUUCAACUUUCCAAUCUCAAAAGGAUUGAUUUGUCUUUUAAUAAUUUCACUGGAUCACUCAUUUCACCUAAAUUUGGUGACUUCUCCAGUUUAACACAUCUUGAUCUAUCAGUUUCAAGUUUUUCAGGUCAAAUCCCUUCUGAAAUAUCUUAUCUAACCAAUUUAAACGUUCUUCGUAUCACGGCUGUUGAUCCAUAUGGGCUUAGACUUGGGCCUCACAAUUUUGAAUUGCUCCUUAAGAACUUGACCCAAUUAAGAGAGCUCAAACUUGACUCUGUGAACAUCUCCUCCACCAUUCCUCUAAAUUUCUCUUCUUAUUUAACAGUUCUACGGCUUCCAUACACACAGUUACGUGGGGUAUUGCCCGAAAGAGUAUUCCACCUUUCCAACUUAGAAUUCCUUCAUUUAUCAUCCAAUCCCCAGCUCAGUGUUAGGUUUCCCACAACCAAAUGGAAUAGCAGUGCAUCACUCAUGAAGUUAUAUCUCUUAGGGGUGAAUAUUACUAGUAGGAUACCUGAAUCAUUUAGCCAUCUAACUUCACUUCAUGAGUUGGACAUGGGUAAUACUAAUCUGUCAGGGUCCAUUCCUAAACCUCUAUGGAAUCUCACCAACAUAGAGAUUUUGUACCUUGAUACUAACCGUCUUGAAGGAACAAUUUCCCAGUUCUCGAUAUUUGAAAAGCUCAAGACGUUAUCACUUGGAAAUAACAACUUUGAUGGCCGACUUGAGUUCUUAUUCUUUAACAGAAGCUGGAUGCAACUUGAAUGGCUAGAUUUGCCAUCCAAUUCCCUAACUGGUCCAAUUCCAUCCAACGUAAGCGGACAGCGAAAUCUACAAUCACUCUUCUUGUCAUCAAACUACUUGAAUGGGACUAUACCUUCCUGGAUAUUCUCCCUUCCUUCACUAACAAAUUUAGAAUUGAGCAAUAACACUUUCAGCGGAAAAAUUCAGGAGUUCAAGUCCAAAACAUUAUAUUUCGUUACUCUAAAAGAAAAUAAGCUGGAAGGUCCUAUUCCAAAGUCACUCCUAAACCAGCAGAGCCUACGAGUUCUUCUCCUUUCACACAAUAAUAUCAGUGGACAGAUUGAUUCAGCUAUCUGCAAUAUGAAAACAUUGUUGCUACUAGAUUUGAAAAGUAAUAAUUUGGAGGGAACAAUUCCACAAUGUUUGGGUGAGAUGAGUACAGUUCGGAUUUUGGAUUUAAGCAACAAUGGUCUUAGUGGGACAAUUAAUCCAACUUUUACUAUUGAAAACCAAUUCAACAUCAGUAAAUUGAAUGACAAUAAACUACAGGGGAAAGUUCCAUCAUCUUUGAUCAAUUGUGAAAAAUUGGAAUUUCUAGAUUUAAGUAACAAUGAGUUGAAUGACACGUUUCCAAAAUGGUUGGGAGAGCUACCUCAUUUGCAGAUCUUAAAGUUGAGAUCAAAUAAGUUCUAUGGCCCUAUAAGGACUGACAACUUGUUUGCUCAAAUUCGAGUCAUAGAUCUCUCAUCCAACGGAUUUAGUGGAGAUCUACCAGUGAACUUGUUUCAGAAUUUUCAAGCCAUGAAAAAAAAUGGUGAGAACAGUGGAACCCCAAAGUAUGUAGCAGAUAUAUAUUCUUAUUAUUAUAAAAAUUCUUUGAUAGUGACAACGAAGGGACUGGAUCAUGAACUUCCUCGAGUUUUGACUACACAAAUAAUUAUCGAUCUCUCAAGGAAUAGAUUUGAAGGUUGUAUUCCAAACAUUAUUGGAGAUCUCGCUGGACUUCGUACGUUGAACUUAUCUCAUAAUGUCUUGGAAGGUCACAUACCAGAAUCACUGCAACAUUUAUCUGUACUUGAAUCAUUGGAUCUUUCAUCCAACAAAAUAGGCGGUGAAAUAUCACAACAAUUUGUGUCCCUUACGUCACUUGAAGUCUUAAAUCUCUCUCACAAUCAUCUUGUUGGAUGCAUCCCCAAAGGAAACCAAUUUAAUACAUUUGAGAACAAUUCAUACCAAGGAAAUGAUGGAUUACGAGGAUUACCACCCUCAAGAGAUUGUGGCGGUGAUGAUAGGGUACCACAAGCGACAAUUCCAGUUGAGCUAGACCAAGAAGAAGAAGAUUCACCAAUGAUCAGUUGGCACGCAGUUCUCAUGGGUUACGGUUGUGGACUUGUUAUUGGACUAUCUGUAAUAUACAUAAUGUGGUCAACUCAAUAUCCAACAUGGUUUUGGAGGAUGGAUUUAAAAUUGGAACACAAAAUUAGUACGAGAAUGAAAAGGCACAAGAAAAGAUAUUAGUGUGCACUGACCUGCAGGUAUUCAACUUGAUCUUUAUCCUUCAAAAGACUACUUCUUAUAUAUCGAUUUAUUAGUGUGUAAGUUUAAUUCUUUAUUUUUGAAAAUUGCAGGAUUCAAGUCUACUGAUCAGUUGCUGAUGAUGCAGAUAAAAGCCUUUAUCUUUCAUAGUUUGUGAUGUUUCCAUAAAGUGUUUGUUAUCCUAUGAAUAAAGACAUGACUUUUCUUCCUUGAGACUCAAAUCAGAUUAUGUUUUCAUUUGUCUAUGGCUUGUAGAAAUAAAUUCGACUGAUAAACAGAAAUCGGACACAAACUGCUUAAUCUGUGUCUGUAUUUACAUUGACUCCUCUAAAUUCCAAACCUUCCUGGUAUGACAUAUCAUACCACCCCAAAUACCUUCCAGUUCCAAAUAAAUUUUCUAAAUAUCUAGCUAGAUAGAGUUUUGGAUGUGGAAAAUCCACUCGAGCUGGUGCGCUAUGGAGAAGGAGUUGUGUUCAAAGUAGAUUUUCAUCGCUACUCAAGUUUGCAUUAACAAAGUGACAUCCUACUCCUAAAAUACAAUGAAUUCCAUUGCAGCAUAGAGUGAUCCCAUAUCUAUUGGUUGAACUAUUUUGAGGCAUUUGAUGUAGACUUUGUAGGAAAACAAUAACGAAUUAGCUCAAGGAGUACUAAAAGUUCCGUUAAAGAAAAUUCUUAAAAACUACAUGUGACAACUCGUACUAUAAGAGCAUGCAAGUUUGAGUCCUCUUCAAAGCAUAAUAUUAGUGUAACACCCCGUAUUCGAAACAGACCAAAUUGCAGAUUUUUAGAAGUUGCAGGUGCGACUUACGGUCACCAUCCAUGGACCGUAGGUCAGACCACGGCCCGUGCUGGUGGUCCGUGGUUCACCACUGCAACCCUCCCCAAAUCAGCUCAGAAAAAUUGGCUAAGUCCCGACUCACGGACAGACCUACGGUCCGUAGAUCAGACCACGGUCCGUGGUCUGAGUCCGUGGAUCGAGACUUCCCUUACCUAGCCUUUGAAACAAACUACGGUCAACCAGUACGGACCGUCAUUCGAUCCACGGUCCGUAGGUCUGACCGUAGAUGAGGGUCAAGCAACCAGUUAGAUGAAAAUUGUGGUUAAGUCAACUUCAGAUGGUCAUAACUCUUAGCACAAAAUGAAUUAUGUGUCCCAUUACCUAUGGUUAGAUAGAUAAUUGAAUUAUCUCUCCAACGCCACUGAGUUUGCUAAAUUCUGACCUCCGAGUAAAAAGUUAUGCUCGUUUUAGUGAAGCCCUGUCGGGCAGACUCGACUUACGGACCCAAUCGACGGUCCGUCUAUUGAACUACGGCCCGUCAGUCCAGUUCGUCGAUUGGUCCGACAGCAGUUAAUUCAAGGGUCUUUUGGUCUUUUCCUCUUUCGUUUAACCCCUAAGAUACGUCGUUUAAACCCUAAAUCAUAAGGUUUUAGUCAGUUUAAGCCUAGAAACAUAACUAGAACUUACCUAAGUCAAAUCAUUAAUCAAAACUUAGAAAAUUAGAAGCAAGAGAGGAGAAAAAGGUCAAGAACCCUAGUUCAAGAACCCUACAAGGUUCCAUCAGUUCCAGCCUCGAAAUUGAAAGAUUUCUCCGUGGAAUUCGUCACCAGGUAUGUGGGAUUUCACUAGUGGGUUCCUUUCACCCAUUAGGUCCCUAGAAUUCAGUCAGAUUCUUGAUUCCAUGAUUAUGAACAGACCUAGGGUUUCUAGAAUUACAACAGAUCAUCAUGAAUUAGUUAUUUAAAUGUUCCAAAUCAAAUUAUCAUGUUAUUGCUGAGCUUCUCGCAUGAAUUUUAGAACCCUAGCUAUGUAUUUCUUUAGUUCUUGAAUUACACAUGCUAGGUCAAAUAUUUNNNNNNNNNNNNNNNNNNNNNNNNNNNNNNNNNNNNNNNNNNNNNNNNNNNNNNNNNNNNNNNNNNNNNNNNNNNNNNNNNNNNNNNNNNNNNNNNNNNNNNNNNNNNNNNNNNNNNNNNNNNNNNNNNNNNNNNNNNNNNNNNNNNNNNNNNNNNNNNNNNNNNNNNNNNNNNNNNNNNNNNNNNNNNNNNNNNNNNNNNNNNNNNNNNNNNNNNNNNNNNNNNNNNNNNNNNNNNNNNNNNNNNNNNNNNNNNNNNNNNNNNNNNNNNNNNNNNNNNNNNNNNNNNNNNNNNNUUAUUAGUAGCUCCCACAGUUCAGUCAGACUCUAUUGCAUUGACCAUAUUUCAGUACGGUCAGUAUUCAGUCUCAGCAUGUUAUAAAUUUGGUCAUUGCAUCAGUUAGCUCAGUAUUCAGUAUUUUCAGUAUCUAUAUCAUGUUCAGAUUAUUUCAUUGCUUUAUUGCUUUGUUCAGUGAUAUGUUAUUUCAGCUGUAUUCUAUCCUGCAUGUUUAGUACCUUUCAAGUACUGAUGCAUACGUGCGCUAUAUCUUCUCGUGAUGUAGGUUCAGGUUCUCAGCAUCCAGAUCACGCUUAGAUCGAUUCCCGAUCUUCAGUUCAGCUGCACCAGUGGUGAGUCCUCAUUCUUCGUGGACUAGUGACAUGUUUAUCUUUAUCGCUUUUAGUCUUUAGUUUCAGUUUUGAUAGAUCUAGUUGGGGCAUGUUCCAACAUUUCUAGUCAGUUUAGAGGCUUAUUUCAGACAUAGUUAGAUUUAGCUUAGUAUUGAGUUAAUAUUUUCUUUGUAUUAAACUCAUCAAUUUUUCAUAUAUCUCAGAUAUAGUAUAUGGGUAUUCCCCAUCAUUUCAGACUUACUUUAUGAUUUAGCUUCCGCAUCAGUUAUUAUUAUCUUUAGUAUGCUCAUGAUCAUGCCAGCAGGGUUAGCUUGGGAUCACUUGUGGUCCUAGGUCCCGUGUCCGCGUCUUGGGGGUAGUCUCGGGGCGUGACAAUUAGGGCUCAUCAAAUGUGCGUUCUCAACAACAGAGCUCGGAUCAUUAAUUAACAGUAUCAUUUCACUUCACAUCCUAGCACUAUCAUUCUCUGGAAAAACUUAACAGCAACUUCAGAGCACCCGUUCUUCAUGUACCCAUAAAUCAUACGAGUCUAUGAAUAAACAUCUCUAGAAGGCAUGUAAGAAAACAUCAAGAACCCCAAACCCAUUUUUCCCUCAAGCAUUGCAUUAACUAAAUUCAGUAUCAUUAUUAUCAGUUAACUAUCUCCUGGGGCCUAUUCGACUGAUAAACAGAAAUUGGAAACUACUUGAAUCAUUCGAUCAAUUUCCAACUGAGAUAAUAGCAGAAGUCGUAUGCUUAAUUUAUGGGUUGCUCAUGGCUUUGUGUCAUUUAAGUACCUAAAGAAGAAUUUGAGUGUACAUAAGACUAAUUGGUAAGGUUCUACUGGUUUAAAAUAUAAUGUUUAGGGAUCACGUACAACGCGCAAGGACAAGAUCUUAGUAAAACAUGUGAUAAUCUGCUGUCAGGAUAUUGGAAUCACAUUAAAGUUCCUAAAAGACUUAGCUUCCAAUGUCUUUUCUGGUGAAGAGCUAAAGAUUAUUGGAAAUGCUGAUAAGUAAUUGAUUACUUGUCUGUAUAUUUGUCACAUUGUUCCCUGGCCAAAAUUUUAGGAAAUAGAUGCAUUGUUGAGCGUAUGCUCGAAACCAAUUAAGGAUACGAAAAGUUCUGUCACAACAAAUUCUUAAAAGGGUAUAUGCAUAGUACACUUAUCCUAACUAUCAAAACCUUCUUUUUUUUUUUACCUUUUAAGUUAAAGUCUAUACACAAAGUAACACUCUUAUCCUGACUAAUCAAGACUUUAACGGAUUUUCGAUUUGGGACAGUAAGUAAUACCUUAAAAUCACCAGAACUGCAAAUCCAAACAAAUUUACAUGACAAAUUGUGAGAAUAAACCGACAUCAAUUGCAUAAAAUUUUGGACGAGAAAAACUCUUAAAAAUGGUGUAAUAUCAUUGGCUUUGGGUAAAACUUGCACAGUUUCCUCUUAAAUGUUCACUUUAUACAUAUCUUCUUUUUAUCUUACCAACUUCUAAUGCAAGACUUUUUUCAUACACCCAACCGACAUAAGAGAGCCAAAACAACUUUUGUAUGUGUUGUGUGUGGAGAGUUGUUAAGAGAGACACGUUGAAUGUGAAUAUGUAAUUGACAACUCUAAAAUUGACUGAACAUGACAAGGUGACCUUCCUGAAAUUGAUUACUCCAAAGCAACAACUAAAUGUACAUAGUAAAUUUCUUUUCUUAGUUUGUGCUAUAUAUACCUCAUCAAACUUACUGAAUAUAGACACACAACAAACAUUUCUUGAUUUCUUCUCUACCAACUUAAUUAGUUUUGAUCAUUUUAGAGCAAAAAUGGGUUAUGUAAAACUUUUAUUUUUUAUGCUAUAUACCGUUCUUUGUCAACUUGCUUUCUCGUCAUCCUUGUGCCCCAAAGAUCAAGCUCUUUCUCUUCUACAAUUCAAGCACAUGUUUACCAUUAAUCUUGAUGCUUCUUAUGAUUGUGAGUUUUCUCAUCCAAAAACUCGUUCAUGGAACAAGAGCAUGGAUUGUUGCUCAUGGAAUGGAGUUCAUUGUGACAAGACAACAGGACAAGUGAUUGAGCUUGAUCUCCGUUGCAGCGAACUUCAAGGCAAGUUUCAUUCCAAUAGUAGCCUCUUUCAACUCUUCAAUCUCAAAAGGCUUGAUUUGUCGUAUAAUGAUUUCACUGGAUCACUCAUUUCACCUAAAUUUGGUGAGUUUUCAAGUUUGACGCAUCUUGAUUUGUCGCAUUCAAGAUUUACAGGUCUAAUCCCUUCUGAAAUAUCUCACCUUUCUAAAUUACACGUUCUUUUUAUAUGGAACCCCUCGGGUGGUUUAUAUGACCUUAGUCUUAGUCUUGGGCCUCACAAUUUUGAACUUCUCCAUCAGAACUUGACCCAAUUAAGAGAGCUUGACCUUUAUGGUGUGAACAUCUCUUCCACCAUUCCUUCAAUUUUUUCUUCUCAUUUAACAACUCUAGCACUUUCAGACACACAUUUAUGUGGGAUAUUGCCCGAAAGUGUUUUCCACCUUUCCAACUUAAAAACUCUCGAUUUGUCAUACAAUCACAAGCUCACAGUUAGGUUUCCCAUAACCAAAUGGAAUAGCAGCGCAUCACUCAUGUACUUAAAUCUCUAUGAUGUGAAUAUUACUGGUAGGAUACCUGAAUCAUUUAGCCAU